UACGGAGGGGGUUAGCGUUGUUCGGAAUUACUGGGCGUAAAGCGCGCGUAGGCGGACUAGUAAGUCAGAGGUGAAAUCCCAGGGCUCAACCUUGGAACUGCCUUUGAUACUGUUAGUCUUGAGUUCGAGAGAGGUGAGUGGAAUUCCGAGUGUAGAGGUGAAAUUCGUAGAUAUUCGGAGGAACACCAGUGGCGAAGGCGGCUCACUGGCUCGAUACUGACGCUGAGGUGCGAAAGUGUGGGGAGCAAACAGG
RNAcentral lists this unclassified non-coding RNA (253 nucleotides) under uncultured Rhodobacterales bacterium. RNAcentral describes it as "contains 16S-23S intergenic spacer region". It matches the Rfam family "Bacterial small subunit ribosomal RNA", at positions 524 to 776 of the family's 1533-position model. Lineage: Bacteria; Pseudomonadati; Pseudomonadota; Alphaproteobacteria; Rhodobacterales. The record is from RNAcentral.